Phalacrocorax carbo (great cormorant) is the source of this 959-nucleotide non-coding RNA. The record is from RefSeq and is a predicted model, not a curated record. NCBI's taxonomy places the organism in Eukaryota, Metazoa, Chordata, Aves, Suliformes, Phalacrocoracidae.
CGCGGGGGGGCCGGGGCGGCGGAGCCAUGGAGCCCGCGGGGCCGGAUCCCUCCCUGUACACGGUGAAGGCCCUGCUCAUCCUGGACAGCCUCGGGCAGCGCCUCCUGGCCAAGUACUACGAUGGUACCUUCCCCACGGCCAAGGAACAGGCAGCCUUUGAGAGGAGCGUCUUCAGCAAGACCCACCAGGCAGGCGGUGAGAUCGCCUGUCUGGAAGGACUCACCGUCGUCUACAGGAGCAGCGUCGAUCUCUUCUUCUACGUGGUAGGGGGCUGCCAGGAGAACGAGCUGAUGCUGUUGGCUGUGCUCACCUGCCUCCUCGACGCCCUCAGCUACCUCCUGCGGAAGGAGGUGGAGAAGCGCUGGCUGCUGGACAACAUGGAGGGGAUGUUCCUGGUGGUGGAUGAGAUCGUGGACAGGGGGGUGAUCCUGGAGAGCGACCCCCAGCAAGUGAUCCAGCGGCUGAGCCUGCACGCCCCAGAGCCGGCACCGUACGGCUUUGUCCUCUUCGACUACCUGGCGGGCAGCUCGGAGCGGAGGGACGCAGGAAACAAGGAAUAGGCAGCGCCGAGGAGGUUGAUGUCAACCCUCUCUCCAAGCAAAGCGUGUCCCAGCAGGUCCUGCAGCCCACAAAGGAGCACAUCGAGGCAUCCCCACUGACGUGACGGCACUGGGGUCUCCCGGAAAGGUGAGACCCCAGCGCUGGGUGAUGCCAGGCAUCAGGACACACAGACCCUCCCUGGCAUCCCCCCACUCCAACACCAGCCCAAACCCCACACACCAGCCUGGAUCCCCCGGAUGGCUCCUCCCUGGCUGCACCGCCUCCAGAAGCCCCUUGCUAGAUCUCAUAUCUGAUCCCAGCAUUAAUCAUCUCAAGGGAAAAAUUAAGCACUAAUGGAGGGGAAUUGAUUUGCCAUUCCUGCUCGCUCCCAGCCGGAACCACCUACAAAUAAAGUUUUC